GCUGGGCACAGUGAGAUGUGCCUGUAACUCUAGUUACUCCGGAGGCUGAGGCGGGAGGUUCGCAAGUUUGAGGCCAGCCAUCUUCAAUGCCCUCAACAAAUUAGCAAGACCCUGUCUCAA
This 120-nucleotide small RNA is filed under the name Marmota monax (woodchuck). The record is from RNAcentral. Lineage: Eukaryota; Metazoa; Chordata; Mammalia; Rodentia; Sciuridae.